CCUACGGGAGGCAGCAGUGAGGAAUAUUGGUCAAUGGGCGCGAGCCUGAACCAGCCAUGCCGCGUGCGGGAAGACGGUCCUAUGGAUUGUAAACUUCUUUUGUCGGGGAGCAAAAGACGCCACGCGUGGCGUUCCGAGAGUACCCGAAGAAAAAGCAUCGGCUAACUCCGUGCCAGCAGCCGCGGUAAUACGGAGGAUGCGAGCGUUAUCCGGAUUUAUUGGGUUUAAAGGGUGCGCAGGCGGAAGAUCAAGUCAGCGGUAAAAUUGCGAGGCGCAACCUCUUCGUGCCGUUGAAACUGGUUGUCUUGAGUGAGCUAGAGGUAUGCGGAAUGCAUGGUGUAGCGGUGAAAUGCAUAGAGAUCACGCAGAACACCGAUUGCGAAGGCAGCAUACCGGCGCUCAACUGACGCUGAUGCACGAAGGUGUGGGUAGCGAACAGGAUUAGAUACCCCUGUAGUC
This 459-nucleotide ribosomal RNA is filed under the name uncultured bacterium. Its description in RNAcentral is "partial 16S ribosomal RNA". It matches the Rfam family "Bacterial small subunit ribosomal RNA", at positions 338 to 795 of the family's 1533-position model. The record is from RNAcentral.